This 2911-nucleotide long non-coding RNA is filed under the name Triticum aestivum (bread wheat). RNAcentral describes it as "long non-coding RNA (TAES_LNC019907)". The record is from RNAcentral. Lineage: Eukaryota; Viridiplantae; Streptophyta; Magnoliopsida; Poales; Poaceae.
AUAAAGAUGGAAUGACUUCUAAUUUUUAGGUCCGUAUGAUUUGAAAUACUUGCACACAAACCACGCAAAACCGUUCCUAGAAAUCUCGGUCGAAAAAAGGACGUUUAGUAAUUCUAAAAGGGACUACAGGAUGAAAAACAAUAGUUUUGGCAGUUAAAGUUUGAGAUUCGAUGGUGCCGUAGAUCCGUUUGGUCAUCAGGUGUUACGAGCCACACCCAUGUCUAGCUAGAGUAGUGUGCUAGGUUCAGACUAGAGAAGAAACGGGGAACAAAGUGAUUAAAGAAUGAUCAUACCGAGGGAAUUCACUCAGAACUAACAAGAAUGAUAACGUGCUCCGACUGGAGCGGUUUAGGAACUGCUGGAAGGCUCUAGGGGAAUAAAGAUGGAAUGACUUCUAAUUUUUACGUCCGUAUGAUUUGAAAUACAUGCACACAAACCACGCAAAAGCGUUCCUGGAAAUCUCAGCCUAAAAAAGGACGUUUAGUAAUUCUAAAAGGGACUACAGGAUGAAAAAUAAUAGUUUGGGCAGUUAAAAUUUGAGAUUCGACGCUGCCGUAGAUCCGUUUGGUCAUCAGGUCUUACGAGCCACACCCAUGUCUAGCUAGAAUAGUGUGUUAGGCUCAGGCUAGAGAAGAAACGGGGAACAAACUGAUGAAAGAAUGAUCAUACCGAGGGAAUUCACUCAGAACUAACAAGAAUGAUAACGUGCUCCGACUGGAGCAGUUUAGAAACUCCUGGAAGGCUCUAGGGGAAUAAAGAUGGAAUGACUUCAAAGUUUUAGGUCCGUAUGAUUUGAAAUACUUGCACACAAACCGCGUGAAAGCGUUCCUGGAAAUCUCAACCCAAAAAAGGGCGUUUAGUAAUUCUAAAAGGGACUACAGGAUGUAAAACAAUAGUUUUGGCAGUUAAAGUUUGAGAUUCGAUGGUGCCGUAGAUCCGUUUGGUCAUCAGGUGUAACGAGCCACACCCAUGUCUAGCUAGAGUAGUGUGCUAGGCUCAGACUAGAGAAGAAACGGGGAACAAAGUGAUGAAAGAAUGAUCAUACCGAGGGAAUUCACUCAUAACUAACAAGAAUGAUAACGUGCUCUGACUUGAGCGGUUUAGGAACUGCUGGAAGGCUAUAGGGGAAUAAAGAUGGAAUGACUUCAAAUUUUUAGGUCCGUAUGAUCUGAAAUACUUGCACACAAACCGCGAGAAAGCGUUCCUGGAAAUCUCAACCCAAAAAAGGACGUUUAGUAAUUCUAAAAGGGACUACAGGAUGAAAAACAAUAGUUCUGGCAGUUAUUGUUUGAGAUUCGAUAAUCUCGUAGAUCCGUUUGGUCAUCAGGUGUAACGAGCCACACCCAUGUCUAGCUAGAGUAGUGUGCUAGGCUCAGACUAGAGAAGAAACGGGGAACAAACUGAUGAAAGAAUGAUCAUACCGAGGGAAUUCACUUAGAACUAACAAGAAUGAUAACGUGCUCCGACUGGAGCGGUUUAGGAACUGCUGGAAGGCUCUAGGGGAAUAAAGAAGGAACGACUUCUAAUUUUUAGGUCCGUAUGAUUUGAAAUAUGUGCACACAAACCACGAGAAAGCGUUCCUAGAAAUCUCGGCCCAAAAGAGGACGUUUAGUAUUCUAAAAGGGACUACAGAAUGAAAAACAAUAGUUUUGGCAGUUAAAGUUUGAGAUUUGACGGUGCCGUAGAUCUGUUUGGUCAUCAGGGGUUACGAGCCACACCCAUGUCUAGCUAGAAUAGUGUGUUAGGCUCAGGCUAGAAAAGAAACGGGGAACAAAGUGAUGAAAGAAUGAUCAUACCGAGGGAAUUCACUCAGAACUAACAAGAAUGAUAACAUGCUCCGACUGGAGCGGUUUAGGAACUGCUGGAAGGCUCUAGGGGAAUAAAGAUGGAAUGACUUCUAAUUUUUAGGUCCGUAUGAUUUGAAAUACUUGCACACAAACCGCGCGAAAGCGUUCCUGGAAAUCUCAGCCCAAAAAAGGACGUUUAGUAAUUCUAAAAGGGACUACAGGAUGAAAAACAAUAGUUUUGGCAGUUAAAGUAUGAGAUUCAACGGUGCCGUAGAUCCGUUUGGUCAUUAGGUGUUACGAGCCACACCCAUGUCUAGCUAGAAUAGUGUGCUAGGCUCAGGCUAGAGAAGAAACGGGGAACAAACUGAUGAAAGAAUGAUCAAACCGAGGGAAUUCACUCAGAACUAACAAUAAUGAUAACGUGCUCCGACUGGAGCGGUUUAGGAACUGCUGGAAGUCUCUAGGGGAAUAAAGAUGGAAUGACUUCUAAUUUUUACGUUCGUAUGAUUUGAAAAACUUGCCCAUAAACCGCGCGAAAGUGUUCCUGGAAAUCUCAGCCCAAAAAAGGACGUUUAGUAAUUUUAAAAGGGACUACACGAUGAAAAACAAUAGUUUUGGCAGGUAAAGUUUGAGAUUCGACAGUGCCGUAGAUCCGUUUGGUCAUCAGGUGUUACGAGCCACACCCAUGUCUAGCUAGAAUAGUAUGUUACGCUCAGGUUAGAGAAGAAACGGGGAACAAACUGAUGAAAGAUGAUCAUACCAAGGGAAUUCACUCAGAACUAACAAGAAUGAUAACGUGCUCCGACUGGAGCGGUUUAGGAACUGCUGGAAGGCUCUAGGGGAAUAAAGAUGGAAUGACUUCUAAUUUUUACGUCUGUAUGAUUUGAAAUACUUGCACACAAACAACGCAAAAGCAUUCCUGGAAAUCUCAUCCUAAAAAAGGACGUUUAGUAAUUCUAAAAGGGACUACAGGAUGAAAAAUAAUAGUUUGGGAAGUUAAAAUUUGAGAUUCGAUAGUGCCGUAGAUCCGUUUGGUCAUCAGGUGUUAGGAGCCACACCCAUGUCUAGCUAGAAUAGUGUGUUAGGCUCAGGCUAGAGAAGAAACAGGGAACAAACUGAUGAAA